Molecule: ribosomal RNA, 1030 nt
Filed under: marine metagenome
Description: bacterial SSU rRNA
Rfam family: Archaeal small subunit ribosomal RNA
Source: RNAcentral
UUCGGUUGAUCCUGCCGAAGGCUACUGCUAUUGGAGUUCGAUUAAGCCAUGCGAGUCUAAGGGGUACUUGUACCCCUGGCAUAAUGCUCAGUAACACGUGGAUAAUCUACCCUUAGGUGGGGCAUAAACCCGGGAAACUGGGGCUAAUUCCCCAUAGAUACAGAAGGCUGGAAUGCCUCUGUAUUCAAAGCUCCGGCGCCUAAGGAUGAGUCUGCGUCCUAUCAGGUAGUAGUCAGGGUCACGACCUGACUAGCCAACGACGGGUACGGGGUGUGAGAGCACUUGCCCGGAGAUGGUUUCUGAGACACGAAACCAGGCCCUACGGGGCGCAGCAGGCGCGAAAACUUCGCAAUGCGGGAAACCGUGACGAGGGAACUCCAAGUGUCUAUGCAAUGCAUAGACUGUUUUUCAGCCUAAAUAGCUGUUAGAGUAAGGGGUGGGUAAGACCGGUGCCAGCCGCCGCGGUAACACCGGCACCCCGAGUGGUAGCCACUAUUAUUGGGCCUAAAGCGUUCGUAGCCGGUUUAGUAAAUUCUUGGGUAAAUCGUACAGCUUAACUGUGCGGAUUCCGGGGACACUACUAGACUUGAGACCGGGAGAGAUUAGAGGUACUUGCAGGGGAGCGGUGAAAUGUUGUAAUCCUGCAGGGACCACCAGUGGCGAAGGCGUCUAAUCAUAACGGCUCUGACGGUGAGGAACGAAACCCUGGGGCGCAAACGGGAUUAGAUACCCCGGUAGUCCAGGGCGUAAACGCUGCUGACUUGGUGUUGGAGAUCCUACGAGGGUGUCCAGUGCUGGCGCGAAGGUAUUAAGUCAGCCGCCUGGGGAGUACGGUCGCAAGACUGAAACUUAAAGGAAUUGGCGGGGGAGCACUGCAACGUGUGGAGCGUGCGGUUUAAUUGGAUUCAACGCCGGAAAACUCACCGGGGGCGACGGUUACAUGAAGGCCAAGCUGAUGACUUUGCCUGAUUUUCCGAGAGGUGGUGCAUGGCCGCCGUCAGUUCGUACCGUAAGGCGUUCUGUUAAGUCA